UUAACACGUGGGAACGUGCCUUUAGGUUCGGAAUAACUCAGGGAAACUUGUGCUAAUACCGAAUGUGCCCUUCGGGGGUUAGAUUUAUCGCCUUUAGAGCGGCCCGCGUCUGAUUAGCUAGUUGGUGAGGUAAAGGCUCACCAAGGUGACGAUCAGUAGCUGGUCUGAGAGGAUGAUCAGCCACAUUGGGACUGAGACACGGCCCAAACUCCUACGGGAGGCAGCAGUGGGGAAUCUUGCGCAAUGGGCGUAAGCCUGACGCAGCCAUGCCGCGUGAAUGAUGAAGGUUCUUAGGAUUGU
RNAcentral lists this ribosomal RNA (300 nucleotides) under uncultured bacterium. Its description in RNAcentral is "bacterial SSU rRNA". It matches the Rfam family "Bacterial small subunit ribosomal RNA", at positions 110 to 426 of the family's 1533-position model. The record is from RNAcentral.